AUUAACGCUGGCGGCGUGCAUAACACAUGCAAGUCGAACGAUGAAACUUAAAUGAUUUCUUCGGAAUGCACUUAAGUGGAUUAGUGGCGGACGGGUGAGUAACGCGUGAGUAACCUGCCUUACACAAGGGGAUAGCCGUUGGAAACGACGAAUAAUACCCUAUGAAACUAUCACUUCGCAUGAAGCGAUAGUCAAAGUGUUAGCGGUGUAAGAUGGACUUGCGUCUGAUUAGCUAGUUGGUGAGAAAAAAGCCCACCAAGGCAACGAUCAGUAGCCGGCUUGAGAGAGUGUACGGCCACAUUGGGACUGAGACACGGCCCAGACUCCUACGGGAGGCAGCAGUGGGGAAUUUUGCACAAUGGGGGAAACCCUGAUGCAGCGACGCCGCGUGAUUUAGAAGGCCUUCGGGUUGUAAAAAUCUUUUGUAUAGGAAGAAAAUGACAGUACUAUACGAAUAAGGUCCGGCUAAUUACGUG
This 476-nucleotide ribosomal RNA is filed under the name uncultured bacterium. RNAcentral describes it as "partial 16S ribosomal RNA". It matches the Rfam family "Bacterial small subunit ribosomal RNA", at positions 29 to 507 of the family's 1533-position model. The record is from RNAcentral.